GGUCUCCGUUGGUGAACCAGCGGAGGGAUCAUUACAGAGUUAUCCAACUCCCAAACCCAUGUGAACUUAUCUCUUUGUUGCCUCGGCGCAAGCUACCCGGGACCUCGCGCCCCGGGCGGCCCGCCGGCGGACAAACCAAACUCUGUUAUCUUAGUUGAUUAUCUGAGUGUCUUAUUUAAUAAGUCAAAACUUUCAACAACGGAUCUCUUGGUUCUGGCAUCGAUGAAGAACGCAGCGAAAUGCGAUAAGUAAUGUGAAUUGCAGAAUUCAGUGAAUCAUCGAAUCUUUGAACGCACAUUGCGCCCAUUAGUAUUCUAGUGGGCAUGCCUGUUCGAGCGUCAUUUCAACCCCAAAGCACAGCUAAUUGUUGGGCCCUACAUUUCGUAGUGCCUCCAGACGUUGGCGGAGUGGCAGUAGUCCUCUGAGCGUAGUAAUUCUUUAUCUCGCUUUUGUUAGGUGCUGCCCCCCCGGCUGUAAUACCCCCUAUUUGUUCUGGUUGACCUCGGAUCAAGUAAGAAUACCCGCUGAACUUAACCAU
This 538-nucleotide ribosomal RNA is filed under the name fungal sp. 51626. Its description in RNAcentral is "eukaryotic LSU rRNA". The stretch from base 188 to 341 matches the Rfam family "5.8S ribosomal RNA". Lineage: Eukaryota; Fungi. The record is from RNAcentral.